Molecule: long non-coding RNA, 588 nt
Organism: Trifolium pratense (red clover)
Lineage: Eukaryota; Viridiplantae; Streptophyta; Magnoliopsida; Fabales; Fabaceae
Exons: 2
Source: RefSeq, a predicted model, not a curated record
AUCAACUAUAUCAGCCGCCAUACAUUUAUAUGCUGCUGAUCAUACAACAAAUUAAUCAGACCCACCCACCAUCAGCCACUAUCCUAUGGAUCUAAAUUCUACUUCACGCAGUUACACGCAUUAGACAAUCUCAGGUCUUGAUUUCUCAUCUGACGGCUAUAAUUCAUGCUUCGUGUACAUGUUUUUUAUUGGAUGACUAAAGUGUAUGAGAAUGAUCCUUCCAAACAUUUUCGUGGAGGAUGCAACGAAGGCUCCGCCAGUGACACGUGUCAACAUCUGAGACGUGAAGGUGACGUCAUUCUGAUGACGUAAUAUUAGGUCCAGCUCAUCGGACGUUUAUGACACUGUUGAUUGUGGACACUGAUACUCCCAAAUAAUAUCCAUAAGAAUAUCACUUUCAUGGCUGUUUAGGGUGCAAAUGUAAGAUAAUCUUACACUAUUAUUAGAUGACACAAGUCUUUUAUAUAAACUUGCGCAUCAAAAUUUGAUUUAAUGAUAAGAUCUAUUGUUUUAAUUAAUAAAAUUAAGUUUGCUAAUGGUAACAGACUUGUUUUAUUUGUAUAUAUGUACUCAUUUACGAUUUAAUUA